This 446-nucleotide ribosomal RNA is filed under the name uncultured bacterium. RNAcentral's name for it is "partial 16S ribosomal RNA". It matches the Rfam family "Bacterial small subunit ribosomal RNA", at positions 338 to 795 of the family's 1533-position model. The record is from RNAcentral.
CCUACGGGAGGCUGCAGUCGAGAAUUAUUCACAAUGGGGGAAACCCUGAUGGUGCGACGCCGCGUGGGGGAAUGAAGGUCUUCGGAUUGUAAGCCCCUGUCAUGUGGGAGCAAAUUAAAAAGAUAGUACCACAAGUGGAAGAGACGGCUAACUCUGUGACAGCCGCCGCGGUAAUACAGAGGUCUCAAGCGUUUUUCGGAAUCACUGGGCGUAAAGCGUGCGUUGGCGGUUUCGUAAGUCGGGUGUGAAAGGCACGGGCUCAACCCACGGACGGCACAUGAUACUGGGGGACUAGAGUGAUGGAGAGGGAACCGGAAUUCUCGGUGUAGCAGUGAAAUGCGUAGAUAUCGGGAGGAACACUAGUGGCGAAGGCGGGUUCCUGGACAUUAACUGACGCUGAGGCACGAAGGCCAGGGGAGCGAAAGGGAUUAGAUACCCCAGUAGUC